RNAcentral lists this ribosomal RNA (425 nucleotides) under uncultured bacterium. Its description in RNAcentral is "bacterial SSU rRNA". It matches the Rfam family "Bacterial small subunit ribosomal RNA", at positions 354 to 796 of the family's 1533-position model. The record is from RNAcentral.
GUGAGGAAUAUUGAGCAAUGGGCGCAAGCCUGACUCAGCAACGCCGCGUGGAUGAAGAAGGCCUUCGGGUUGUAAAAUUCUUUUCUGGGGGAAGAUAAUGACGGUACUCCAGGAAUAAGUUCCGGCUAACUACGUGCCAGCAGCCGCGGUAAAACGUAGGGGACAAGCGUUAUCCGGAUUUACUGGGCGUAAAGCGCAUGUAGGUGGCUUGACAAGUUGGACGUGAAAGCUCCCGGCUUAACUGGGAGAGGUCGUACAAAACUGUUGAGCUUGAGGUUGGAAGAGGAGAGCGGAAUUCCCGGUGUAGUGGUGGAAUGCGUAGAUAUCGGGAGGAACACCAGUGGCGAAAGCGGCUCUCUGGUUCAAAACUGACACUGAGAUGCGAAAGCGUGGGGAGCGAACGGGAUUAGAUACCCCGGUAGUCC